This 41-nucleotide ribosomal RNA is filed under the name Fusarium sp. SB10-2. Its description in RNAcentral is "partial 17S ribosomal RNA". The record is from RNAcentral. Lineage: Eukaryota; Fungi; Ascomycota; Sordariomycetes; Hypocreales; Nectriaceae. RNAcentral also lists the same sequence under 1 other name.
GAAGUAAAAAUCGUAACAAGGUCUCCGUUGGUGAACCAGCG